AUUGAACGCUGGCGGCAGGCCUAACACAUGCAAGUCGAGCGGAUGAAGGGAGCUUGCUCCUGGAUUCAGCGGCGGACGGGUGAGUAAAGCCUAGGAAUCUGCCUGGUUGUGGGUGAUAACGUCCGGAAACGGGCGCUCAUACCGCAUACUUCCUGAGGGAGAAAGUGGGGGGUCUUCGGAACUCUCGCUAUCAUAUGAACCUAGGUCGGUUUAGCUAGUUGGUGGGUUGAGGGCCUACCAAGGCGAGGAUUCGUAACUGGUCUGAGAGGAUGAUAAGUCACAUUAGAACGGAGACAGGGUCAAGGCUACUGAGGGAGGCAGCAGUGGGGAAUAGUGGACAAUGGGCGAGAGUAUGAUACAGUGAGGCGGCGUGUGAGAAGAAGGUCUUCGGAUUGGAAAGCACGUCUAGUGGGGAGGAACCGCAGUAGGCUGAGACCUAGCGGGAGUGACGGUAAUAAGAGAAUAAGCACCGGCUAACUUCGUG
This 484-nucleotide ribosomal RNA is filed under the name uncultured bacterium. Its description in RNAcentral is "partial 16S ribosomal RNA". It matches the Rfam family "Bacterial small subunit ribosomal RNA", at positions 30 to 507 of the family's 1533-position model. The record is from RNAcentral.